This 488-nucleotide ribosomal RNA is filed under the name uncultured bacterium. RNAcentral describes it as "bacterial SSU rRNA". It matches the Rfam family "Bacterial small subunit ribosomal RNA", at positions 28 to 507 of the family's 1533-position model. The record is from RNAcentral.
GACGAACGCUGGGCGGCGUGGAUUAGGCAUGCAAAUCGAACGGUAUCAUCCUUUCGGGGGUGAGAGAGUGGCGAACUGGUGAGUAACACGUAGGUUAUCUACCCUCAAGACGGGGACAACCCAGGGAAACUUGGGCUAAUACCGGAUGUGAGCAACUUUUAGUUGUUUGAAAGGUGGCGUAAGCUGUCGCUUGGGGAUGAGCCUGCGUCCUAUUAGUUAGUUGGUGAGGUAACGGCUCACCUAGGCAAUGAUAGGUAGGCGGCCUUAACGGGUGGUCGCCCACACUGGGAUUGAGAUACGGCCCAGACUCCUACGGGAGGCAGCAGUCGAGAAUAGUCUACAAUGGUCGGAAGACUGAUAGUGCGACGCCGCGUGAACGAUGAAUCCCUUCGGGGUGUAAAGUUCUUUUAUAUGUGAGCAGUGCUUCUUAUAUUAACAGUAUGGGGAGAGAGAUAUUAGCAUAUGAAUAAGCAACGGCUAACUCCGUG